UAUCGGAAGGUGCGGCUGGAUCACCUCCUUUUGAGUAUGGUGAAUAUAAUUGUCUUAUCAGGCGUCCUCACAAGUUACUUGCAUUCAGGGUUUGAUGUUGGCAUAGGUUUGGGUUUAUGUUGGCGAUUUUUGUUCUGGGGGCCUUAGCUCAGCUGGUAGAGCACCUGCUUUGCAAGCAGGGGGUCGUCGGUUCGAUCCCGACAGGCUCCACCAUGAAAGUAUUUAUGGGUCUGUAGCUCAGGUGGUUAGAGCGCACCCCUGAUAAGGGUGAGGUCGGUGGUUCGAGUCCUCCCAGACCCACCAAUGUUAUAUCAAUUAUUCUGAAUGUGGUUUGCGCAUUUUUUAUGCUUAUCAGCCUUGGAGCUGUGAAGCGUUCUUUUAUAAUUUGAUGAUGUAGCAAGCGUUUGAACUUUUUAUUAAUAAUUUCUCAUUGGAAGCCUUAAGUGACAAUGUUUAUCCAUUGUCUUGUAGAUUUUGAGGCGACUUUGGGUUAUAUGGUCAAGCGAAUAAGCG
This 513-nucleotide unclassified non-coding RNA is filed under the name Xylella fastidiosa. RNAcentral's name for it is "16S-23S ribosomal RNA intergenic spacer". The stretch from base 138 to 210 matches the Rfam family "tRNA". Lineage: Bacteria; Pseudomonadati; Pseudomonadota; Gammaproteobacteria; Lysobacterales; Lysobacteraceae. The record is from RNAcentral.